RNAcentral lists this ribosomal RNA (1395 nucleotides) under Campylobacter jejuni. Its description in RNAcentral is "partial 23S ribosomal RNA". It matches the Rfam family "Bacterial large subunit ribosomal RNA", at positions 1540 to 2925 of the family's 2925-position model. The record is from RNAcentral. Lineage: Bacteria; Pseudomonadati; Campylobacterota; Epsilonproteobacteria; Campylobacterales; Campylobacteraceae.
AUACUCCGAGAACUGAAAGGCUUUUUGAAGUCUUCGGAUGGAUAGAAGAACCCCUGAUGCCGUCGAGCCAAGAAAAGUUUCUAAGUUUAGCUAAUGUUGCCCGUACCGUAAACCGACACAGGUGGGUGGGAUGAGUAUUCUAAGGCGCGUGGAAGAACUCUCUUUAAGGAACUCUGCAAAAUAGCACCGUAUCUUCGGUAUAAGGUGUGGUUAGCCUUGUAUUAGGAUUUACUCCGAAAGCAAGGAAACUUACAACAAAGAGUCCCUCCCGACUGUUUACCAAAAACACAGCACUCUGCUAACUCGUAAGAGGAUGUAUAGGGUGUGACGCCUGCCCGGUGCUCGAAGGUUAAUUGAUGGGGUUAGCAUUAGCGAAGCUCUUGAUCGAAGCCCGAGUAAACGGCGGCCGUAACUAUAACGGUCCUAAGGUAGCGAAAUUCCUUGUCGGUUAAAUACCGACCUGCAUGAAUGGCGUAACGAGAUGGGAGCUGUCUCAAAGAGGGAUCCAGUGAAAUUGUAGUGGAGGUGAAAAUUCCUCCUACCCGCGGCAAGACGGAAAGACCCCGUGGACCUUUACUACAGCUUGACACUGCUACUUGGAUAAGAAUGUGCAGGAUAGGUGGGAGGCUUUGAGUAUAUGACGCCAGUUGUAUAUGAGCCAUUGUUGAGAUACCACUCUUUCUUAUUUGGGUAGCUAACCAGCUUGAGUUAUCCUCAAGUGGGACAAUGUCUGGUGGGUAGUUUGACUGGGGCGGUCGCCUCCCAAAUAAUAACGGAGGCUUACAAAGGUUGGCUCAGAACGGUUGGAAAUCGUUCGUAGAGUAUAAAGGUAUAAGCCAGCUUAACUGCAAGACAUACAAGUCAAGCAGAGACGAAAGUCGGUCUUAGUGAUCCGGUGGUUCUGUGUGGAAGGGCCAUCGCUCAAAGGAUAAAAGGUACCCCGGGGAUAACAGGCUGAUCUCCCCCAAGAGCUCAUAUCGACGGGGAGGUUUGGCACCUCGAUGUCGGCUCAUCGCAUCCUGGGGCUGGAGCAGGUCCCAAGGGUAUGGCUGUUCGCCAUUUAAAGCGGUACGCGAGCUGGGUUCAGAACGUCGUGAGACAGUUCGGUCCCUAUCUGCCGUGGGCGUAAGAAGAUUGAAGAGAUUUGACCCUAGUACGAGAGGACCGGGUUGAACAAACCACUGGUGUAGCUGUUGUUCUGCCAAGAGCAUCGCAGCGUAGCUAAGUUUGGAAAGGAUAAACGCUGAAAGCAUCUAAGCGUGAAGCCAACUCUAAGAUGAAUCUUCUCUAAGCUCUCUAGAAGACUACUAGUUUGAUAGGCUGGGUGUGUAAUGGAUGAAAGUCCUUUAGCUGACCAGUACUAAUAGAGCGUUUGGCUUAUCUUUAAUAAAGCAU